ACUGGGCGUAAAGGGCACGCAGGCGGUGACUUAAGUGAGGUGUGAAAGCCCCGGGCUUAACCUGGGAAUUGCAUUUCAUACUGGGUCGCUAGAGUACUUUAGGGAGGGGUAGAAUUCCACGUGUAGCGGUGAAAUGCGUAGAGAUGUGGAGGAAUACCGAAGGCGAAGGCAGCCCCUUGGGAAUGUACUGACGCUCAUGUGCGAAAGCGUGGGGAGCAAACAGGAUUAGAUACCCUGGUAGUCCACGCUGUAAACGAUGUCGAUUUGGGGGUUGAGCUUUGAGCUUGGCGCCCGUAGCUAACGUGAUAAAUCGACCGCCUGGGGAGUACGGCCGCAAGGUUAAAACUCAAAUGAAUUGACGGGGGCCCGCACAAGCGGUGGAGCAUGUGGUUUAAUUCGAUGCAACGCGAAGAACCUUACCUACUCUUGACAUCCAGAGAACAUUCCAGAGAUGGAUUGGUGCCUUCGGGAACUCUGAGACAGGUGCUGCAUGGCUGUCGUCAGCUCGUGUCGUGAG
Molecule: ribosomal RNA, 517 nt
Filed under: uncultured bacterium
Lineage: Bacteria
Description: bacterial SSU rRNA
Rfam family: Bacterial small subunit ribosomal RNA
Source: RNAcentral